AAAUUGAAGAGUUUGAUCAUGGCUCAGAUUGAACGCUGGCGGCAGGCCUAACACAUGCAAGUCGAACGGUAACAGGAAGCAGCUUGCUGCUUUGCUGACGAGUGGCGGACGGGUGAGUAAUGUCUGGGAAGCUGCCUGAUGGAGGGGGAUAACUACUGGAAACGGUGGCUAAUACCGCAUAACGUCGCAAGACCAAAGAGGGGGACCUUCGGGCCUCUUGCCAUCAGAUGUGCCCAGAUGGGAUUAGCUUGUUGGUGAGGUAACGGCUCACCAAGGCGACGAUCCCUAGCUGGUCUGAGAGGAUGACCAGCCACACUGGAACUGAGACACGGUCCAGACUCCUACGGGAGGCAGCAGUGGGGAAUAUUGCACAAUGGGCGCAAGCCUGAUGCAGCCAUGCCGCGUGUAUGAAGAAGGCCUUCGGGUUGUAAAGUACUUUCAGCGGGGAGGAAGGUGUUGUGGUUAAUAACC
RNAcentral lists this ribosomal RNA (471 nucleotides) under Salmonella enterica. RNAcentral's name for it is "bacterial SSU rRNA". It matches the Rfam family "Bacterial small subunit ribosomal RNA", at positions 1 to 468 of the family's 1533-position model. Lineage: Bacteria; Pseudomonadati; Pseudomonadota; Gammaproteobacteria; Enterobacterales; Enterobacteriaceae. The record is from RNAcentral. RNAcentral also lists the same sequence under 3 other names.